This 535-nucleotide long non-coding RNA is filed under the name Capsicum annuum. RNAcentral describes it as "long non-coding RNA (CANN_LNC021977)". The record is from RNAcentral. Lineage: Eukaryota; Viridiplantae; Streptophyta; Magnoliopsida; Solanales; Solanaceae.
UGUAUACACACUAUUCAAUGUAUAUAUACUACUACUUAUAAAAUAUACUACAUUAUAUAUACAUUACAAUAUAUAUAGAUAUACUUAUAUACUAAUUUAUAAAACAUAUACACAUGUAUACGUUAAAUAUACACUUCUAUAGAAGAUAUAUGCACAAAUAUACAAAACAUAUGCUACUUAAUAUAAUAAAUUAAUAAUAUUUGGUAGUAAAUUAAUAAUAUAUUAGAAGUAAGUUUUUAAUUUAAAGUAGAAAACUAGAAAUUCAAUUUAAAAUUUUAAAUCGUUAAAUGAAAAAAUAUAAAAAGCAAGGACUAAGGAGUGAAUGAAUUUGGGAAAUUUUAUUGAUUGCAAAAUGAUCCAAAAUUUAUAAUUUACAUGAAUGAAAAAUCUACAAAUUAUGCAUCAUUUUUUCCAACUCAUUCAUGUUAAUAUUAACGGGAACUUGCAUAGGAUAGUCGAAGUCAACGGGGGCAAAACCAUGCAUUGGACUUGAUUCUGCAGAGUUUUCCCGUGAAGUCAUAAUUUCUUCAAGUUU